RNAcentral lists this ribosomal RNA (497 nucleotides) under uncultured bacterium. Its description in RNAcentral is "partial 16S ribosomal RNA". It matches the Rfam family "Bacterial small subunit ribosomal RNA", at positions 28 to 507 of the family's 1533-position model. The record is from RNAcentral.
GACGAACGCUGGCGGCGUGCCUAAUACAUGCAAGUAGAACGCUGAAGAGAGGAGCUUGCUCUUCUUGGAUGAGUUGCGAACGGGUGAGUAACGCGUAGGUAACCUGCCUUGUAGCGGGGGAUAACUAUUGGAAACGAUAGCUAAUACCGCAUAACAAUGGAUGACACAUGUCAUUUAUUUGAAAGGGGCAAUUGCUCCACUACAAGAUGGACCUGCGUUGUAUUAGCUAGUGGGUGAGGUAAUGGCUCACCUAGGCGACGAUACAUAGCCGACCUGAGAGGGGGAUCGGCCACACUGGGACUGAGACACGGCCCAGACUCCUACGGGAGGCAGCAGUAGGGAAUCUUCGGCAAUGGGGGCAACCCUGACCGAGCAACGCCGCGUGAGUGAAGAAGGUUUUCGGAUCGUAAAGCUCUGUUGUAAGUCAAGAACGGGUGUGAGAGUGGAAAGUUCACACUGUGACGGUAGCUUACCAGAAAGGGACGGCUAACUACGUG